AUGGGGAGUGGCAAGGUUCUGGGAGGGCAUAUGGCACCCAGAAUAUGGCUGUAGGCAUUUGUAAACGGGGUUGUUGACACUGAGCUUUCAGGAAGAGAAGAUUAGGACACAGAGAUACCAGAGAGGUCAUUCACAGAGGAAAGACCACGUGAAGACGCAGUGGCCAUAUGCAAGCUGAGGAGAGAGGUCUCAGAAGAAACCAAUACUGCCAACGCCUUGGUCUCGGACUUCCAGCCUCCAGAACUUUUGCCUCCCAUAUUUUUAUGAUGCCUUUUGCAAGCAUUCUUAAUGGUCCUGGAUCAGAAGAUGCCUGACAAGAGGCCACUAUCAGCAGCAACAGCACGGUGGGGACAAACCUGAGACCUUGAUGGACCAUGGACACCAGCAGGAGAGACAGAGGAACUUGAAGUCUAAAUGGGCAGACAAGACCAACAGACACAAAGCACAGAGUGGCACAAGAGCCAUGUCUGAUGCAACAGUGACUCAGGAGGAUCACUCUGACUCAGAAUGGCCAAGCAAAGGUAUUGGGAGGAAGUGGGAUAGAACUGAGCUUUGAAGACUGUGCUAAAAUAUGUACAGACUCCCCAGGUUAUCUCAAGUUCUCUCCAGGAAUUAGCUUCACCUCUUUGUGCUUUGGCUCCACAUCAGUUAAAUAGUGAUAACAUUUGAUCGUUAAGAACCAUGUAGAAAUGAAACAAUUUUUCAAGUUUUCUAAUUAAGUGUAUUCAUUGCCACUCAAAGAUAAAUACCAUAUAAAUAUAAUAAUAAUCAUAUUGAGAAAUAAAAUAGUAAUGAUGCAGAUACUCAUGUACUGUUUCAUGUUUGUGGUCUUUGAGGGGAGUUUUUACUCAAAUAUCCCUAGAUGAAUAAAUACAUAUGGUCUAUAAA
This is a long non-coding RNA of Pongo pygmaeus (Bornean orangutan), 888 nucleotides long. RefSeq lists it as uncharacterized. NCBI's taxonomy places the organism in Eukaryota, Metazoa, Chordata, Mammalia, Primates, Hominidae. The record is from RefSeq and is a predicted model, not a curated record. The transcript is spliced from 5 exons.